UUCGUUCUCAUCCACGCACGGGAGGAAAAUCUUCUCUGCGCUUCUAUCCACCACCGCUCAAUCGUUUGAUUUUUUUUCGCGCAAGCUUCUUACCUCCUGCGCGCAGAUUGCUUCUUCCUGCUGCACGGCAUGCCGGAGAAAGAUAUGUCUCUCAGAUUUUUUCUUCUCUACCGAUUGCUUUGCUCCUGGCGUGAUUUUUUUUUCUCUGCGAUUGAUCUCAUCCCUGCACGGCUCUAGUGGAAAAAUCCCGCCGCCCCUGGGCGCUUCAAAAAUCCAGCCGACGCUCGCCCCUAUCUUCUUCCUCAGCCCAGCCGUCUUCCUGGGCAACCGCGUCUCCUUCUUCCUCCCCCUGCGUCCCUGUUCGGUUCCUGCGCACGCUGGCUCCCUGCGUCGCGAGCUUCAGCUCGGAUUCCCCCUCCCAUGGCUGCCGAGCAGCUCGCCGGAAUUCCACGCUCGGUGCCUGGAUCUCCCUCCUCCCUGCAGCUCGCUCUCUCUCCCCAGCUCGCUCGCUCCUGGCCUUCCCCUGCCGGCGCGCCUGUUCCCUGGCCGAAGCCACCUGGUCCCAGGUCCGGUCGGCCGGCUCAGUUUUUCCCAGUGCCGCGCGUCGUGCUUCCCCUUCCAGCCGACCGAAGCUCCAGCUCCAGCCAUGGCGCGUCCGGCUCCCUAGGCGCUUGACCAUCUGCUCGCCUGCUUUCCUGCCAGUGCUGCCCAGUGCCUCUCUGCUAGCCGCGCGCCCCUGUCUUAUUUCCCUGCGCACCGUCGUGUCCUCAGCUAGCCGGCUGCGACCCCUGCUCGGAUUUUCCCCUAUGGCCGGAACCUUUUUCCUGGCCGCAGCUCAGAUCUCCAGGGCCGCGAGCUCCCCUAAGCUCGCCAUGGCGAUUUCCACGGCUGGCAGCUGACCUUCCUGUGUCGCGUCCUGACUUUGCCCAAUGCCCGGUCGAGCUCUCUGACCGCCGCGCCGUGAAUUUUCCUGCCCGCGCGUGUCUCCUUGCUCACGCAUCGCCGUCGAGUUCUCUGGUGUUUGCGUGCCAUGAAGUUCCUCUAGCGCCGUGGCUUCCCAAUUCCAUCUAGUCACGCGCGCGAAUUUUCUUCGCUCAGCUUUAAUUCCCAAUUAUGUCGUCGACCUCGCCGUCAACCAUGUUCAAGUAAUUGCUGGCCCCUCAGACCCGGCCAUUGUUUACCGCGGAACCACUGUCAGAUUAAUUUUUAGCUUCCCUCGCGCGGCUCUUUGGAGAUAAGCUCCUCACCGGCUGUCGCUCCCAAUCUUUAGCUCAUCGACUCACUGUCAUGUUUCUUGUUCUCCCUCGUCGAUCGGCCUCGCCGUGGCUAAGUAUGUCCGCCGUGCUAUGUGCUUCGGUCUUUGGUCGCUGCCUCUUGCUCACCAUCCCCUAUUCGAUCUCGUCGUCAAGCUUCGCCUCAGCCUUAGCUCGUCGGUCACGCUCGUCAGAUGUGCGAUCGAGGACUUCAGCUGAAGGCCGUCGUCAGACAACUACCAAAUCGAGUUGUGAUGUGGUGAGCCGAUUCACUAUUUUUAUUAUCGGUUUUAUGAUCGUAAAAUAAGACAUUUCGUAUACAUAUACGAUUAAGUUAGAAAUACUAGUAAUGCGAGGUGUGCACUUGGUAAUUAUGGCUAGAUUCGUUUUUAUGUCGUUAGGGUGUGUGAUAUUAGGGAGUCGAUGAUAGAAGUGAAAUUCUAGCUAUUGGGUGAUGACGGGAAGGACGUUGUUCAUCGCGUGCUUAAUGUUUGAUGGAUAGUAUGAACUGAAAUCAUCGCCGUUCUCACGAAUUUUAUAUCGACUAGUAAUAGUACACUGGUUCGCUAGUUUUUAUUAUUAGUUCAAGGCUUGGAUUAAUUAGUUAUAUUAGUUGCGUCAGUUCUCUGGACGGUAGUAACCGUGCGUUGUGGUUGUAUUAAUUGUUUAUUAAAAUGCUUCAUCGUAUAUAGUGUAUUGGUUUAUAUAAAUAUAUACAUAUGAGAUGUGUAGGUGAUGAGUAGGAUAGGUUUAGUGUUCUAAUUAAUUAGCUGAUAAGUUGUGUUUAGGCUAAUUAUAUUAAAUAUGUAUUGUUUGUUAUUUCAUGAUGUUUGCGUUAGAUUCGGUUAAUCUAGAAAAGCGUACUUAUUACGCUCAGUCGUACAUCGAUAACUAGUGUUUUAGUAUAAAAUUGUACAACGCCUCGCCACUAGGUGUUUAAUGCGCUGUCGUAUAGCACUAUUUAGAUUUGUGCUAUUUCUGUUAAUAUGCAUUCAUGCGCAUCGUGCAUUUCAAUUAGGUACGAUCGUUGAUCGCGUAAUGUGGAAGACGACCCCAAGUCGACCCAGGAUAAUGCAGAGAUUGGACAUCUCCGCAAGACGACGUCGUCAGUCGGACGAACCUGAAUAUGGAUAAUCUGAUGAAUGCCAAGACAAAGGAUGAUCAUCAAGUGGACAUCGUCUAACAAACACUAACUUAGUGUUACCCAGGCAAGCCCCGGUGCAUUUGCCCCUUCCUUGUGUUUUAAAUGCUUUUUCACCUUAUCUGAUGCAUUAGGUGAUAGGAGUUGUGUGAUAAACAAUUGAUGCAUUACCAUUCCUUGGAAACUCCUUAAUCCCAGUUUUAUAAAAAGAACUGAUAAUGCUUAGCCCUGCUUAGAAACUGAAAAAUCAUUUGUUUUCAAAAAGAAUGAUUAUGGAACAUUGGUUAUGGGCCUUUCGUUUCAAAAAUCAAAGCAAACUUAUGGUGAUGACUCCACUUCGGCCGGAGUGGGUUCAUCAUUCGGAAAAGAGUACCCCUGUCGGGUACCAAAAAUGGGAAAAUGGUUUGAAUACAUCUAGACAAGACGCUGAGCGGACGUGGUCGCCCAUCUGUGUCGAUUAAGGACCGUUCGAUGUAGGCCUGUUGUGGUGGAGACCCUGCAACUAGCCACAUGCUCCGGUAAGCCUGAACCCGGCUAUUCCAUACGUGAAAAGACAACCGCGCACUGGGCGUGGGAGAUGGUGGGAGUAGCGUGUACCCUCCUGGCUAGAGGCUGGAUGGAGGAGUACUGUGCUCCCGGGUAGCGCGGGCCGGUUCACGUUGUGGAGGAUCUGUGGGAACGGUUGACAUAUGCAAGGAUUAAGUGCUACAUAUGUCGUGUGGUUAGGGAUCCCCAGCUGGGUAUAAUCGGUUCGAAUCGUCGUUGCUCCUCGGUCAUGGAGACUCUACCCUCCGACCACUCAUCGUAGUUGACAAGUGAAAUAUGAAUUGGCUAAAAGAAAGCUAGACCAGGACAAGUGGAUGCUCUAGAUUAGGAAAAUCUAGGUUCAGGAAAAAUACUAAACUUGUGAAGUAAAAUUUUGGCAUAAGGAUUUACUACUAGUAAGCUCUUCUGCAAAACAGAGUCUUUGAUUCUUGAUAAGCCAUACCUUGAAUCCCUCUAGCCAGCAUACCCUUGAGAGUCUUUUCUUUAGUCGGGUAAGUCUUGCUGAGUAAUUCCAUACUCAGGGUUUUAUUCCCUGUUGUUUUUCAGGUUAUAGUUUUGUGCUGCUGUUGAUGGUGUUAAGUGCCGGUGGGCUCGGCCUUCUUAUAAGUCUAAGUAAUUCUUCUAUACUUCUUAUUGAGGAUGGUCACUUGAGCUAGCAUAUAUUUCAAACUUACAAAUAAUUUAUAACAUCUCAAAGUUAUUCCUUUAAACCACUUUUGUAAUCAC
This 3666-nucleotide long non-coding RNA is filed under the name Zea mays. RNAcentral describes it as "long non-coding RNA (ZMAY_LNC004489)". The record is from RNAcentral. Lineage: Eukaryota; Viridiplantae; Streptophyta; Magnoliopsida; Poales; Poaceae.